UUACUUACCAGGCGGGGGAGAUACCAUGAUCACGAGGGUGGUUUUCCCAGGGCAAGGCUUAUCCACUGAGUUCUGGACGUGCUUACCCCUGUGAUUUCUCCCAAUGCGGGAAACUCAACUGCAUAGUUUGGGGGGCGGCGGGGAUUGUGUUUGCUCUUUCCCCUG
RNAcentral lists this small nuclear RNA (165 nucleotides) under Dasypus novemcinctus (nine-banded armadillo). RNAcentral's name for it is "U1 spliceosomal RNA (ENSDNOG00000049573.1)". It matches the Rfam family "U1 spliceosomal RNA". Rfam says of the family: U1 is a small nuclear RNA (snRNA) component of the spliceosome (involved in pre-mRNA splicing). Its 5' end forms complementary base pairs with the 5' splice junction, thus defining the 5' donor site of an intron. Lineage: Eukaryota; Metazoa; Chordata; Mammalia; Cingulata; Dasypodidae. The record is from RNAcentral.